CAAAACUAUACACACAGUCAUAUUUAUAUCACACAUGUCCUAUACUUUCCGGCUUCACGUAUUGAGACAGAUUAUUACUGCACGAUUUGCAUAGCGUCUAGACGCCGACUGACCCACUUGACCAGCGCGACGUGUCCAUCGCUGACCAGUGCUGGGCAUUACCCAACUCAGAGGUCGGUUACCGCUACACGCAAAGGGGUGACUUAACGCUGUUGUCUACUUAAUCAGGUUCGUCAAUUUGCAAGUCAUAAGAAAUGGCUGGGGCUUCCUGCACUGACAUAAUGGCGGAACUAUUUGCUACCGCCGAUCGUUUGCAACACCUUCUCGGGCGACAGGAGCUUUUGCAGGCGGAUCUACUCUAUGGUGACAGGGGUAGUACAUUCAGGGGACGUGGAAGUCCUCGCCCAGACGAUGUUCAGACGUUGGUGAAUCACAUCUCCACAGUCCUCGUCCGUCUGACCGGAACGUACCGGCUCAACUAUCGUCUGGUCGGAUCACGUGACCGUCUCACGUCUGCUCCCCGUUCGUACAUCCACCGCCGCUUUCCGGUCCAGGAGACUUUGGAUGGAUCACGUGGUACAAUGAGGCUGGCUGUCAUCUGAUUGGCUGGGUGGAUGACGUCAUUAUUCAUAUAUAUAUAUGCAAAUUUGCGAAAACCAGGACAAAAUGUAUAUGGGAAAAAUGCAGCUGGGGAAAGGGUUAAUGAUGAGUUCAUCCGUUUUGGCUGGCGAGAGAGAUCGACAUAAAUAGAAGAUAUUAUAUGAGUGACCGUGUCACACUAUGUUUAGGACACGAGUGCCUGAACGGUAUUUCCCGAGUGGGAGCGAGUGUUGUGUCGUAAACAUAGUAUGAUAUAGGCACGAAUAUAAUAUUCUAUUUAUUACCGAAGUCGUUAAAUUGAGGAAAAUAAACCCUUAUCUACUUUCAAACUUAGGCUGGCUACUCGCCGUCUCCGUAUGUAGAACGCAACGUCAUAGAAGAAACGUGACGUCAUGGCAUUGUUCAUGACCUCACGUCACCAUGACAAAGUGAUAUUUUGCCCUUGGGCAUCGUAUUAAAAAUAUGAACCCUGAUAUUUUCGCCCUCGUAGGUAAUAACUAUAAAUCGAACAUGAAUGGCAAGUAAUCACAUGUGCCUUUAAGAGAAAUAUGUCAAUAUCAGGAAACACACACAGCAUAAGAUCAU
Molecule: long non-coding RNA, 1185 nt
Organism: Haliotis rubra (blacklip abalone)
Lineage: Eukaryota; Metazoa; Mollusca; Gastropoda; Lepetellida; Haliotidae
Exons: 3
Source: RefSeq, a predicted model, not a curated record